GAUGAACGCUGGCGGAGUGCCUAAUACAUGCAAGUCGAGCGAACAGAUAAGGAGCUUGCUCCUUUGACGUUAGCGGCGGACGGGUGAGUAACACGUGGGUAACCUACCUAUAAGACUGGAAUAACUCCGGGAAACCGGGGCUAAUGCCGGAUAACAUUUAGAACCGCAUGGUUCUAAAGUGAAAGAUGGUUUUGCUAUCACUUAUAGAUGGACCCGCGCCGUAUUAGCUAGUUGGUAAGGUAACGGCUUACCAAGGCAACGAUACGUAGCCGACCUGAGAGGGUGAUCGGCCACACUGGAACUGAGACACGGUCCAGACUCCUACGGGAGGCAGCAGUAGGGAAUCUUCCGCAAUGGGCGAAAGCCUGACGGAGCAACGCCGCGUGAGUGAUGAAGGUCUUCGGAUCAUAAAACUCUGUUAUUAGGGAAGAACAAAUGUGUAAGUAACUGUGCACGUCUUGACGGUACCUAAUCAGAAAGCCACGGCUAACUACGUG
Molecule: ribosomal RNA, 497 nt
Filed under: uncultured bacterium
Lineage: Bacteria
Description: partial 16S ribosomal RNA
Rfam family: Bacterial small subunit ribosomal RNA
Source: RNAcentral